RNAcentral lists this ribosomal RNA (345 nucleotides) under uncultured bacterium. Its description in RNAcentral is "bacterial SSU rRNA". It matches the Rfam family "Bacterial small subunit ribosomal RNA", at positions 8 to 350 of the family's 1533-position model. The record is from RNAcentral.
AGAGUUUGAUCAUGGCUCAGGAUGAACGCUAGCGACAGGCUUAACACAUGCAAGUCGAGGGGCAUCAUGAGGUAGCAAUACCUUGAUGGCGACCGGCGCACGGGUGAGUAACGCGUAUCCAACCUGCCCACCACUUGGGGAUAACCUUGCGAAAGUAAGACUAAUACCCAAUGACGUCUCUAGAAGACAUCUGAAAGAGAUUAAAGAUUUAUCGGUGAUGGAUGGGGAUGCGUCUGAUUAGCUUGUUGGCGGGGUAACGGCCACAAGGCGACGAUCAGUAGGGGUUCUGAGAGGAAGGUCCCCCACAUUGGAACUGAGACACGGUCCAAACUCCUACGGGAGGCA